AGAGCGAACGCUGGCGGCAGGCCUAACACAUGCAAGUCGAGCGCCCCGCAAGGGGAGCGGCAGACGGGAGAGUAACACGUGGGAACGUACCCUUCAGUUCGGAACAACCCAGGGAAACUUGGGCUAAUACCGGAUACGUCCGUAAGGAGAAAGAUUUAUCGCUGAAGGAUCGGCCCGCGUCUGAUUAGCUAGUUGGUGAGGUAACGGCUCACCAAGGCGACGAUCAGUAGCUGGUCUGAGAGGAUGAUCAGCCUCACUGGGACUGAGACACGGCCCAGACUCCUACGGGAGGCAGCAGUGGGGAAUAUUGGACAAUGGGCGCAAGCCUGAUCCAGCCAUGCCGCGUGGAUGAUGAAGGCCUUAGGGUUGUAAAGUCCUUUCGGCGGGGAAGAUAAUGACUGUACCCGCAGAAGAAGCCCGGCUAACUUCGCGCCAGCAGCCGC
Molecule: ribosomal RNA, 443 nt
Filed under: uncultured bacterium
Lineage: Bacteria
Description: SSU rRNA
Rfam family: Bacterial small subunit ribosomal RNA
Source: RNAcentral